GAUGAAGAACGUAGCGAAAUGCGAUAAGUAAUGUGAAUUGCAGAAUUCAGUGAAUCAUCGAAUCUUUGAACGCACAUUGCGCCCGCCAGUAUUCUGGCGGGCAUGCCUGUUCGAGCGUCAUUUCAACCAUCAAGCCCCAGGCUUGUGUUGGGGACCUGCGGCUGCCGCAGGCCCUGAAAACCAGUGGCGGGCUCGCUGUCACACCGGGCGUAGUAGAUUUUAUCUCGCUCAGGGCGUGCUGCGGGUUCCGGCCGUUAAAAAGCCUUUUUUACCCAAGGUUGACCUCGGAUCAGGUAGGAAGACCCGCUGAACUUAAGCAUAUCAAUAAGCAGAGGA
This 336-nucleotide unclassified non-coding RNA is filed under the name soil metagenome. RNAcentral's name for it is "partial contains 5.8S ribosomal RNA, internal transcribed spacer 2, and large subunit ribosomal RNA". The stretch from base 1 to 120 matches the Rfam family "5.8S ribosomal RNA", at positions 35 to 154 of the family's 154-position model. The record is from RNAcentral.